GCCAACGUCCAUACCAUGUUGAAUACACCGGUUCUCGUCCGAUCACUGCAGUUAAGCAACAUCGGGCGCGGUCAGUACUUGGAUGGGUGACCGCCAGGGAACACCGCGUGAUGUUGGCUUUU
This 122-nucleotide ribosomal RNA is filed under the name Papilio xuthus (Asian swallowtail). Lineage: Eukaryota; Metazoa; Arthropoda; Insecta; Lepidoptera; Papilionidae. The record is from RNAcentral.